AUUGAACGCUGGCGGCAGGCUUAACACAUGCAAGUCGAACGAUGAUUAUCUAGCUUGCUAGAUAUGAUUAGUGGCGGACGGGUGAGUAACAUUUAGGAAUCUGCCUAGUAGUGGGGGAUAGCUCGGGGAAACUCGAAUUAAUACCGCAUACGACCUACGGGUGAAAGGGGGCGCAAGCUCUUGCUAUUAGAUGAGCCUAAAUCAGAUUAGCUAGUUGGUGGGGUAAAGGCCCACCAAGGCGACGAUCUGUAACUGGUCUGAGAGGAUGAUCAGUCACACCGGAACUGAGACACGGUCCGG
RNAcentral lists this ribosomal RNA (300 nucleotides) under uncultured Enhydrobacter sp. RNAcentral describes it as "bacterial SSU rRNA". It matches the Rfam family "Bacterial small subunit ribosomal RNA", at positions 30 to 334 of the family's 1533-position model. Lineage: Bacteria; Pseudomonadati; Pseudomonadota; Alphaproteobacteria; Hyphomicrobiales. The record is from RNAcentral.